RNAcentral lists this transfer RNA (73 nucleotides) under Candidatus Poseidonia alphae. RNAcentral describes it as "tRNA-Thr". It matches the Rfam family "tRNA". Rfam says of the family: Transfer RNA (tRNA) molecules are approximately 80 nucleotides in length. Their secondary structure includes four short double-helical elements and three loops (D, anti-codon, and T loops). The record is from RNAcentral. RNAcentral also lists the same sequence under 2 other names. Lineage: Archaea; Methanobacteriati; Thermoplasmatota; Candidatus Poseidoniia; Candidatus Poseidoniales; Candidatus Poseidoniaceae.
GCCACUGUGGCUUAGCUGGUAGAGCAUCUGAUUCGUAAUCAGAAGGUCGGGAGUUCGAAUCUCCCCAGUGGCU